CCCGCGCUCUGCAGCUGGAGACCAGCCCCCGCCCGCAGCAGCUGGCACAGCCCAAAAUAUGUAAGUCCCAGAAGAACUUCUCAGGCAAGCAAAAGCGGAGACUAUGAGUACUAAGCCUGCCCUGAAAGUCGUCAAGGACGGUCAGCAAAGUGUCAUUUGCUUCUCUGCUUUUCCUCCAUCUCUGCAUUCAAGAGACAGUGGAGCGUAGUUUUAGGUAUAAAUUCUCCUUGGUUCUAAAUAUCAACGCCAGCAUUGCUAGUAAUUGAUUGUGAAUGGCCGUCGUCUGUAUUUUGGCUGGGGUGUGUGCUAGAGACGUGUCUGGGAGCUGCCCAGCAAAUGUAACUGCCGAUUCUAAUUACAAUUCUGUCAGGAAAAAGCACUCCAGUUUCAAAUAACUUUUGGACCAGAGUUGACUUGAGAAUUAAGAACUUAGCGUCCUUUUCACUGUCUUUUCUUGGUACAUUAAGUUGUGUUUCAAGAAAGCCAAGACUCUUCAUGUUUCUCCUCCUCAGUAAUUGAAAUGACUAGUUUAGAAGUCAGUGAGGUAGCAAGAACAGGAGGAAAGUAUCCUUUGGAAGCAGAAGGGAAAUUGGACCCGGAGGGAAAUUUCAACCGUGUUUUUCAGAUCAUCUAAACUUUCCACUGGAGUCUGAUGGUAAACUGCAACACAGCCUGAGAAAGCAGCCGUCUGCCGAUUGUCUGUGGAGCAGUGAGUUCACAGUAGCACCUCCUUUCCGCCCGGCAGGUGUUUCUGGGCCACAGCUUCUGCAUCAACAUGUGAGCCUGUGUUUGCGAUGGAAGCAGGCAGCCCCGUCCCUUCGGCGCGGAGACGAGCCGGAGCAGGCUGCCUCGCGCAGGCGUUCACCCUCGGGCCUUCUCUCCUGGACGCUGGGCACCAGGGCCGUCCGCGGGCUGCUGACUGUGCUUUUCCUCUCCAGAUCGUCGGGGACGCGGUAGCCUGGGGCUUCAGUAUACAAGCAUGUAAGGAACUUUGGGAAAAUGUUAGGUGGCCCCGUUAGCCAUUAGAACACUGCCCAUGCGGACUGGCAAGCCGCACCCUGAGAAGUGGUCCAGGCGUUCAGAUCAGAUGGCUGGACUUUCCAGGUGUGGAUAACAAAGGAAAGAGACUUAAAAUCACCCAUAAAGAGAUCGUGCUCUAUUUAAACUAUGCUGUUGCUUCCACAGCCUUGUCUGUUAGAUUAUGGAAGCCAUGGUGUAAUAAUCUGGCGCAGAGUUUAAAGAACUUUCUGGUGCUAGUGGUAAAGAACCUGCCUGCUAAUGCAGGAGACGCAGGAGACAUGGGUUUGAUCUCUGGGUCAGAAAAAUCCCCUNNNNNNNNNNNNNNNNNNNNNNNNNCAGUAUUCUUGCCUGGAGAAUUCCAUGGAUGGAGGGGCUGGUGUACUAUUAUAGUCAAUAGGGUCACAAAACGUCGGAUACUGCUGAGCAUGCAUCAUUAAAGAAAUAGGAACAAUUAAAAUAUAGCUUUUUUUCUUUCUAAACUUUCAACAGCUUUCAAGUGUUUCUUAAUCUAUGCAUGUCUUCCUUAAUCUGGCUCACCCUCAGCCUUCUUUUGGUUUGGAUACCUUGGCUGUGAAAGAGCCUCAAGCUUUGUCCUCAGGAAGACUGGCUGUGGUGUGUAUUUGCCACGGUAACACCUGAUCCCGGGGCUCACAUGUGGCUGUAACAGUGCGUGUGCCGACCUGGUGGCAGGUUUGGUGGUUUGAGGUAUUGCAUUUUGAGCAACUUGGAUAUUAUCUCUGACAAUAGAUCUCAGCUUG
RNAcentral lists this long non-coding RNA (1778 nucleotides) under Capra hircus (goat). RNAcentral describes it as "lncRNA (ENSCHIG00010018080.1)". The record is from RNAcentral. Lineage: Eukaryota; Metazoa; Chordata; Mammalia; Artiodactyla; Bovidae.